Molecule: ribosomal RNA, 87 nt
Filed under: Wisteria frutescens
Lineage: Eukaryota; Viridiplantae; Streptophyta; Magnoliopsida; Fabales; Fabaceae
Description: partial 5.8S ribosomal RNA
Rfam family: 5.8S ribosomal RNA
About the family: 5.8S ribosomal RNA (5.8S rRNA) is a component of the large subunit of the eukaryotic ribosome.
Source: RNAcentral
UGCAGAAUCCCGUGAACCAUCGAGUCUUUGAACGCAAGUUGCGCCUGAAGCCAUUAGGUUGAGGGCACGUCUGCCUGGGUGUCACAG